Molecule: non-coding RNA, 975 nt
Organism: Schizosaccharomyces pombe (fission yeast)
Lineage: Eukaryota; Fungi; Ascomycota; Schizosaccharomycetes; Schizosaccharomycetales; Schizosaccharomycetaceae
Source: the annotation of a GenBank genome assembly
AUUUUGAAUCUGCUUCGUGCAUAUGCGGUGUGAACCCUCCAACAAGGUCAAUAUGUGUGCCAGGGUUAAUCCAUGAACCUACAAUUAUUGGCUUUUUGCUCAAUGUAGCUGAGGAUAUUAUGUCACUGCAUUUAACAGCAUUCUCUAAGUUUUGUAUAGGAACAGCAUCUAUCUGAAUAGACGGGAGUUCUUUUGAGGCUCGGCUUGCCAAAGAUUUUGCUGAUUCAAAGCGAUGGUUCCAAAUUCGUACACUGCGGAUUGGUCUUACAGAACAAUGUGCGUGAAUUAGCUUCUCUGCUACCUUGCCUGAUCCUAUUAUAAGAAGUGAAGUUGAAUCUUCCUUGGAUAAGUAAGAAGAAGCUAGUGCAGAGGCAGCAGCUGUUCGUCGUGAAGUAAGUUCAUUUCCAUCAAGCUGAGCAAGAUGGCAACCUGUUGUAGCAUCACUCAAUAGAUAGUGACUGGAAAGGCUCGGAAGACCGUGUUUGGUAUUUUCAGGGAAUACGUUUACUUGUUUUACACCGAGAAAUUUUCCCGGAAUCCAACAAGGCAUAAUCAAAAGGAUGUUGUUCGCAGUACUGCUAGGAUUAUCUUCAUCAAUUGGGUAAUGUAAUCUCGUCGGACAGACGACAUUCUCAGUAAAUAUUUCUCGUAAGGCAUUUAUAAGAGGAAUCCAACCCAACGAUGAGCUAAGUGUUUCUCUCGAAAGAAAUUGACAGGAACCCGACAUAAUUAUUUAUUUUUUUUUUCAAUUUAUCUUCUAAAUAAAAACGUUGGGUAAAGUUAUACAACUUGAUCUUUAUAAAUUCCAAAAAGAAAUAUGUUAGCAAAAGAACACUUUUUUAAGCAAAACUAUUAACGAUCACCAGUAUUAAAUACUGAGAACUAAUUUUCAACUUUUGUGAGUUUAUGGAAAAUUGAUUAUAAUACGAAUGAUACCUUCUCUAAUCGAAGAUGAAAAGAAGUCAAUUGAUAAAU